GACGAACGCUGGCGGCGUGCUUAACACAUGCAAGUCGAGCGGAAAGGCCCUUCGGGGUACUCGAGCGGCGAACGGGUGAGUAACACGUGAGUAAUCUGCCCUUGGCUUUGGGAUAACUACCGGAAACGGUGGCUAAUACCGGACACGACAACCGUCUGCAUGGGCUGGUUGUGGAAAGUUUUUUCGGCCAAGGAGGGGCUCGCGGGCUGUCAGCUUGUUGGGGGGGUAAUGGCAUACCAAGGCUUCGACGGGUAGCCGGCCUGAGAGGGUGACCGGCCAAAAUGGGACUGAGACACGGACCAGAGUCCGACGGGAGGCAGCAGUGGGGAAUAUUGGAAAAUGGGCGGAAGCCUGAUCCAGCAGCGCCGCGGGAGGGAUGACGGUCUUCGGGUUGUAAACCUCUUUCAGUACCGACGAAGCGUCGAUGAUGGUGGUGACGGUAGGUACAGAAGAAGCACCGGCCAACUACGUG
RNAcentral lists this ribosomal RNA (472 nucleotides) under uncultured bacterium. RNAcentral describes it as "partial 16S ribosomal RNA". It matches the Rfam family "Bacterial small subunit ribosomal RNA", at positions 28 to 507 of the family's 1533-position model. The record is from RNAcentral.